Molecule: ribosomal RNA, 430 nt
Filed under: Pseudomonadota bacterium
Lineage: Bacteria; Pseudomonadati; Pseudomonadota
Description: Proteobacteria bacterium partial 16S ribosomal RNA
Rfam family: Bacterial small subunit ribosomal RNA
Source: RNAcentral
UGGGGAAUAUUGGACAAUGGGGGGAACCCUGAUCCAGCCAUGCCGCGUGUGUGAAGAAGGCCUUAUGGUUGUAAAGCACUUUAAGCGAGGAGGAGGGUACUGGUAUUAAUACUACCAGCUACUGGACGUUACUCGCAGAAUAAGCACCGGCUAACUCUGUGCCAGCAGCCGCGGUAAUACAGAGGGUGCGAGCGUUAAUCGGAUUUACUGGGCGUAAAGCGUGCGUAGGCGGCUAAUUGAGUCGGAUGUGAAAUCCCCGAGCUUAACUUGGGAAUUGCAUUCGAUACUGGUUAGCUAGAGUUUGGGAGAGGAUGGUAGAAUUCCAGGUGUAGCGGUGAAAUGCGUAGAGAUCUGGAGGAAUACCGAUGGCGAAGGCAGCCAUCUGGCCUAACACUGACGCUGAGGUACGAAAGCAUGGGGAGCAAACAGG